AUUGAACGCUGGCGGCAGGCCUAACACAUGCAAGUCGAGCGGUAGCACAGAGAGCUUGCUCUCGGGUGACGAGCGGCGGACGGGUGAGUAAUGUCUGGGAAACUGCCUGAUGGAGGGGGAUAACUACUGGAAACGGUAGCUAAUACCGCAUAACGUCGCAAGACCAAAGUGGGGGACCUUCGGGCCUCAUGCCAUCAGAUGUGCCCAGAUGGGAUUAGCUAGUAGGUGGGGUAACGGCUCACCUAGGCGACGAUCCCUAGCUGGUCUGAGAGGAUGACCAGCCACACUGGAACUGAGACACGGUCCAGACUCCUACGGGAGGCAGCAGUGGGGAAUAUUGCACAAUGGGCGCAAGCCUGAUGCAGCCAUGCCGCGUGUGUGAAGAAGGCCUUCGGGUUGUAAAGCACUUUCAGCGGGGAGGAAGGCGUUAAGGUUAAUAACCUUGGCGAUUGACGUUACCCGCAGAAGAAGCACCGGCUAACUCCGUGCCAGCAGCCGCGGUAAUACGGAGGGUGCAAGCGUUAAUCGGAAUUACUGGGCGUAAAGCGCACGCAGGCGGUCUGUCAAGUCGGAUGUGAAAUCCCCGGGCUCAACCUGGGAACUGCAUUCGAAACUGGCAGGCUAGAGUCUUGUAGAGGGGGGUAGAAUUCCAGGUGUAGCGGUGAAAUGCGUAGAGAUCUGGAGGAAUACCGGUGGCGAAGGCGGCCCCCUGGACAAAGACUGACGCUCAGGUGCGAAAGCGUGGGGAGCAAACAGGAUUAGAUACCCUGGUAGUCCACGCCGUAAACGAUGUCGAUUUGGAGGUUGUGCCCUUGAGGCGUGGCUUCCGGAGCUAACGCGUUAAAUCGACCGCCUGGGGAGUACGGCCGCAAGGUUAAAACUCAAGUGAAUUGACGGGGGCCCGCACAAGCGGUGGAGCAUGUGGUUUAAUUCGAUGCAACGCGAAGAACCUUACCUGGUCUUGACAUCCACAGAACUUAGCAGAGAUGCUUUGGUGCCUUCGGGAACUGUGAGACAGGUGCUGCAUGGCUGUCGUCAGCUCGUGUUGCGAAAUGUUGGGUUAAGUCCCGCAACGAGCGCAACCCUUAUCCUUUGUUGCCAGCGGUCCGGCCGGGAACUCAAAGGAGACUGCCAGUGAUAAACUGGAGGAAGGUGGGGAUGACGUCAAGUCAUCAUGGCCCUUACGACCAGGGCUACACACGUGCUACAAUGGCAUAUACAAAGAGAAGCGACCUCGCGAGAGCAAGCGGACCUCAUAAAGUAUGUCGUAGUCCGGAUUGGAGUCUGCAACUCGACUCCAUGAAGUCGGAAUCGCUAGUAAUCGUAGAUCAGAAUGCUACGGUGAAUACGUUCCCGGGCCU
RNAcentral lists this ribosomal RNA (1361 nucleotides) under uncultured bacterium. RNAcentral's name for it is "bacterial SSU rRNA". It matches the Rfam family "Bacterial small subunit ribosomal RNA", at positions 28 to 1381 of the family's 1533-position model. The record is from RNAcentral.